Molecule: ribosomal RNA, 460 nt
Filed under: uncultured bacterium
Lineage: Bacteria
Description: partial 16S ribosomal RNA
Rfam family: Bacterial small subunit ribosomal RNA
Source: RNAcentral
CCUACGGGGAGCAGCAGUGAGGAAUAUUGGUCAAUGGGCGCGAGCCUGAACCAGCCAAGUCGCGUGAGGGAGAACGGCCCUACGGGUUGUAAACCUCUUUUGCCGGGGAGCAACGGGCGUCACGUGUGGCGCCACUGAGAGUACCCGGAGAAAAAGCAUCGGCUAACUCCGUGCCAGCAGCCGCGGUAAUACGGAGGAUGCGAGCGUUAUCCGGAUUUAUUGGGUUUAAAGGGUGCGUAGGCGGAUCGUUAAGUCAGUGGUCAAAUUGAGGGGUUCAACCCCUUCCCGCCAUUGAAACUGGCGUUCUUGAGUGGAAGAGAAGUAUGCGGAAUGCGUGGUGUAGCGGUGAAAUGCAUAGAUAUCACGCAGAACCCCGAUUGCGAAGGCAGCAUGCCGGCUUCCGACUGACGCUGAAGCACGAAAGCGUGGGGAUCGAACAGGAUUAGAUACCCCAGUAGUC